This 975-nucleotide ribosomal RNA is filed under the name Tropicoporia centrali-africana. RNAcentral's name for it is "eukaryotic LSU rRNA". It matches the Rfam family "Eukaryotic large subunit ribosomal RNA", at positions 25 to 978 of the family's 3401-position model. The record is from RNAcentral. Lineage: Eukaryota; Fungi; Basidiomycota; Agaricomycetes; Polyporales; Polyporaceae.
CCGCUGAACUUAAGCAUAUCAAUAAGCGGAGGAAAAAGAAACUAACAAGGGAUUCCCCUAGUAACUGCGAGUGAAGCGGGAAAAAGCUCAAAUUUAAAAUCUGGCGGUCUUUGGCCGUCCGAGUUGUAGUCUGGAGAAGUGCUUUCCGCGCUGGACCGUGUAUAAGUCUCUUGGAACAGAGCGUCAUAGAGGGUGAGAAUCCCGUCUUUGACACGGACUACCAGUGCUUUGUGAUGCGCUCUCAAAGAGUCGAGUUGUUUGGGAAUGCAGCUCAAAAUGGGUGGUGAAUUCCAUCUAAAGCUAAAUAUUGGCGAGAGACCGAUAGCGAACAAGUACCGUGAGGGAAAGAUGAAAAGCACUUUGGAAAGAGAGUUAAACAGUACGUGAAAUUGCUGAAAGGGAAACGCUUGAAGUCAGUCGCGUCGGCCGGAACUCAGCCUUGCUUUUGCUUGGUGCACUUUCCGGUUGACGGGCCAGCAUCGAUUUUGACCGUCGGAAAAGGGCUAGAGUAAUGUGGCACCUCCGGGUGUGUUAUAGACUCUAGUCGCAUACGGCGGUUGGGAUCGAGGAACGCAGCGCGCCGCAAGGCAGGGGUUUGCCCACUUUCGCGCUUAGGAUGCUGGCAUAAUGGCUUUAAACGACCCGUCUUGAAACACGGACCAAGGAGUCUAACAUACCUGCGAGUGUUUGGGUGGAAAACCCGAGCGCGUAAUGAAAGUGAAAGUUGGGACCUCUGUCGUGGAGGGCACCGACGCCCGGACCUGACGUUCUCUGACGGAUCCGCGGUAGAGCAUGUAUGUUGGGACCCGAAAGAUGGUGAACUAUGCCUGAAUAGGGUGAAGCCAGAGGAAACUCUGGUGGAGGCUCGUAGCGAUUCUGACGUGCAAAUCGAUCGUCAAAUUUGGGUAUAGGGGGCGAAAGACUAAUCGAACCCAUCUAGUAGCUGGGUUCCUGCCGAAGUUUUCCCCUCCAGGA